UUAGAUUGAUAUUAGAUUAUCAAAAAGUGUUUAUGGUUUACGUGAUUGGCCUAAUAAAAUUAAGUAUCAAGGCUCUGUUAGCAGAAACCCAAUUGAUAAUUAAUAUAUAAAAUUUUUAUAAUUACUACUUAUAUGAUCUGCAAAGUUAUGAUAAAAAAUUCUAUUAAAAAAUACAAAAAAUUGAAACCGGGUGAUCUAAAACGGUUGAUCAAAUAAAUAAUAUAAUUCAAAAUUUGUUCACUAUUUGACAGAAGACAUGUGAAAUAAAUGAAUUGAAAAAAAAAAGAAGGAGUAGUAAAAAAAAGACGCGGUAUUUGGUUCAUUUGUCCUAUAUGUGCAAAUCAAAAUCGGGCAAAUUUUUCCUUUUACUCGGGGUAGAGCAUAAACCUAAAAAUGGAUUAA
Molecule: long non-coding RNA, 402 nt
Filed under: Eutrema salsugineum
Lineage: Eukaryota; Viridiplantae; Streptophyta; Magnoliopsida; Brassicales; Brassicaceae
Description: long non-coding RNA (ESAL_LNC001811)
Source: RNAcentral